Molecule: ribosomal RNA, 253 nt
Filed under: uncultured bacterium
Lineage: Bacteria
Description: partial 16S ribosomal RNA
Rfam family: Bacterial small subunit ribosomal RNA
Source: RNAcentral
UACGUAGGGGGCUAGCGUUGUCCGGAUUUAUUGGGCGUAAAGAGCGUGUAGGCGGCCAGGUAGGUCUGGUGUGAAAACUCGAGGCUUAACCUCGAGAUGUCAUCGGAAACUAUACGGCUAGAGUCCGGAAGAGGAGAGUGGAAUUCCUGGUGUAGCGGUGAAAUGCGCAGAUAUCAGGAAGAACACCUAUGGCGAAAGCAGCUCUCUGGGACGGUACUGACGCUGAGACGCGAAAGCGUGGGGAGCGAACAGG